UUUCCUCAUAAGGUGGAAAAUGGCGUGGAACACUCUUAGCCAUGAUUCUCCGGUACACAGGUGAUUAUGAGUCAGCCUUGGCACUGCGGAACUCCACUUCAGGAAUGGAACCUGGUUUGAACUUUGGUGCUGGGAAGAGAGGAGAGAAAUUUUCCCUGAAAAUCUGUAUCUCAAAACUGGAUCUCAGGACAAAAGAAAAAAAAAGAGACUAUGUCAAGUCAGAAGUAUUUUCUCCAUUUGAGAUGCUUCAAGGAUUAUUCCCAUCUAUAAACAUCCUGUAUAAUUAAAAAGGUUUGUGUUCACUUUACUCACACAGUAACUACCAUAUAAACAAAGAGAUGGCCUUUUCAGACAUUUUCUGUAUUGGAAGGAAAAAUUUAGCAAUGGAACCUACUAUAUUUUGCUACUUUAUCUUUGCUAUUUUAAUUUUUUUUUCUGUAGAGCUUUCCAAAUC
RNAcentral lists this long non-coding RNA (454 nucleotides) under Oryctolagus cuniculus (rabbit). Its description in RNAcentral is "lncRNA (ENSOCUG00000031412.1)". Lineage: Eukaryota; Metazoa; Chordata; Mammalia; Lagomorpha; Leporidae. The record is from RNAcentral.